Molecule: ribosomal RNA, 399 nt
Filed under: uncultured bacterium
Lineage: Bacteria
Description: bacterial SSU rRNA
Rfam family: Bacterial small subunit ribosomal RNA
Source: RNAcentral
CCAGGCUCGAACGGUGAUGGACAUCCGGCGAAAGCCGGCUCCCGCAAGGGCCGUCAUCGAGGUGCUGCAUGGCUGUCGUCAGCUCGUGUCGUGAGAUGUUGGGUUAAGUCCCGCAACGAGCGCAACCCUUGUCCGCUGUUGCCAUCAGGUUAAGCUGGGCACUCUGCGGAGACUGCCGGUGAUAAACCGGAGGAAGGUGGGGAUGACGUCAAGUCAGCAUGGCCUUUAUGUCUGGGGCUACACACGUGCUACAAUGGCCGAUACAAACCGUCGCGAUACCGCAAGGUGGAGCAAAUCGGAGAAAAUCGGUCUCAGUUCGGAUUGCAGGCUGCAACUCGCCUGCAUGAAGUUGGAAUCGCUAGUAAUCGCGGAUCAGCACGCCGCGGUGAAUACGUUCCC